Non-coding RNA from Pelobates cultripes (western spadefoot toad), 150 nucleotides. The record is from the annotation of a GenBank genome assembly. Lineage: Eukaryota; Metazoa; Chordata; Amphibia; Anura; Pelobatidae.
GUGAGUACUGUCCCCUGUCAGCUCCCUCUUCAGCUCCCUCGCGCACCGCGUACUGAUUCCAGAGCCGGAAGAUGGUAUCAUCUUCCGGCUCCGGUAUCAGUGCGGUGCGCGAGGGAGCUGAAGAGGGAGCUGAAGAGGGAGCUGAAGAGG